CACACAUCACCUGUGCUCUGCAUUUUGACCAGCUGGGUGUAGAUGCUGUAAUUGUCUCCAUCUACUACAAAAAGGAAGCUUCUUCAAUGAAGGUGAGGGGUCUGCAGGCAGCCUGCCUGGGCCUGUCAGCAACAACCCAACAACUUGAGGGGCCUGCUUGCAAAUUGGACUGCUACCAGGAGGGCUCCAGGAAAUGCCAUUGCUGCAGCAGCUCGAGCGCCUUCCAGAACACACCUACACAUGUGAGAAUAAAGCCACAUACACUGA
This is a long non-coding RNA of Mastomys coucha (southern multimammate mouse), 267 nucleotides long. RefSeq lists it as uncharacterized. The record is from RefSeq and is a predicted model, not a curated record. The transcript has 2 exons. NCBI's taxonomy places the organism in Eukaryota, Metazoa, Chordata, Mammalia, Rodentia, Muridae.